UACGAAGGGGCUAGCGUUGUUCGGAUUUACUGGGCGUAAAGCGCACGUAGGCGGAUCGUUAAGUCAGGGUGAAAUCCUGGAGCUCAACUCCAGAACUGCCUUUGAUACUGAGGAUCUUGAGUUCGGGAGAGGUGAGUGGAACUGCGAGUGUAGAGGUGAAAUUCGUAGAUAUUCGCAAGAACACCAGUGGCGAAGGCGGCUCACUGGCCCGAUACUGACGCUGAGGCACGAAAGCGUGGGGAGCAAACAGG
Molecule: ribosomal RNA, 251 nt
Filed under: uncultured bacterium
Lineage: Bacteria
Description: partial 16S ribosomal RNA
Rfam family: Bacterial small subunit ribosomal RNA
Source: RNAcentral